RNAcentral lists this ribosomal RNA (426 nucleotides) under uncultured Rhodocyclaceae bacterium. RNAcentral's name for it is "bacterial SSU rRNA". It matches the Rfam family "Bacterial small subunit ribosomal RNA", at positions 356 to 774 of the family's 1533-position model. Lineage: Bacteria; Pseudomonadati; Pseudomonadota; Betaproteobacteria; Rhodocyclales; Rhodocyclaceae. The record is from RNAcentral.
GGGGAAUUUUGGACAAUAGGGGCAACCCUGAUCCAGCCAUGCCGCGUGAGUGAAGAAGGCCUUCGGUUUGUAAAGCUCUUUCGGCCGGGAAGAAAUCGCGCAGGCUAAUACCCUGUGUGGAUGACGGUACCGGAAUAAGAAGCACCGGCUAACUACGUGCCAGCAGCCGCGGUAAUACGUAGGGUGCGAGCGUUAAUCGGAAUUACUGGGCGUAAAGCGUGCGCAGGCGGUUUCGUAAGACAGAGGUGAAAUCCCCGGGCUCAACCUGGGAACUGCCGUUGGGAAUGCGAGGCUAGAGUACGGGAGGGGGGGGGUGAAUUCCACGUGUAGCAGUGAAAUGCGUAGAGGUGUGGAGGAACACCGAUGGCGAAGGCAGCCCCCUGGGCCGAUACUGACGCUCAUGCACGAAAGCGUGGGGAGCAAACA